UUGGCUCAGGAUGAACGCUGGCGGCGUGCUUAACACAUGCAAGUCGAACGGGGAUUAUUUGGAUGAGAGCUUCGGCAGGAUUCCGGAUAAUUCUAGUGGCGGGCGGGUGAGUAACGCGUGAGCAAUCUGUCCCAGACAGGGGAAUAACACUUGGAAACAGGUGCUAAUACCGCAUAAGACCACAGUAUCGCAUGGUACAGGGGUAAAAGGAGCAAUCCGGUUUGGGGUGAGUUCGCGUCCGAUUAGAUAGUUGGUGAGGUAACGGCCCACCAAGUCGACGAUCGGUAGCCGACCUGAGAGGGUGAUCGGCCACAUUGGAACUGAGAGACGGUCCAAACUCCUACGGGAGGCAGCAGUGGGGAAUA
RNAcentral lists this ribosomal RNA (365 nucleotides) under uncultured rumen bacterium. Its description in RNAcentral is "bacterial SSU rRNA". It matches the Rfam family "Bacterial small subunit ribosomal RNA", at positions 19 to 363 of the family's 1533-position model. The record is from RNAcentral.